Molecule: non-coding RNA, 73 nt
Organism: Eumeta japonica
Lineage: Eukaryota; Metazoa; Arthropoda; Insecta; Lepidoptera; Psychidae
Source: the annotation of a GenBank genome assembly
GGGGGCGUAGCUCAGAUGGUAGAGCGCUCGCUUAGCAUGCGAGAGGUACCGGGAUUGAUACCCGGCGCCUCCA